GACUACUAGGGUAUCUAAGCCCGUUCGCUCCCCUAGCUUUCGCCUCUCAGCGUCAGGUGCAGACCAGGAAGCCGCCUUCGCCACUGGUGUUCCUCCUCGUAUCUGAGCAUUCCACCGCUACACGAGGAAUUCCGCUUCCCUCUUCUGCCCUCUAGCGAUCCAGUUUCGUACGACCCCUCCCAGUUAGGCCGGGAGAUGUCACGUCCGACUUGGAUUGCCGCCUACUUGCCCUUUACGCCCAGUAAAUCCGGAUAACGCUCGCCUCCUACGUUUUACCGCGGCUGCUGGCACGUAGUUAGCCGAGACUUAUUCCCGAGGUACUGUCCUUACUCAUCCCUCGGAAAAGGGCUUUACAACCCGAAGGCCGUCAUCGCCCACGCGGCGUUGCUGCAUCAGGGUUUCCCCCAUUGUGCAAUAUUCCUUACUGCAGCCCCCCGUAGG
RNAcentral lists this ribosomal RNA (441 nucleotides) under uncultured bacterium. RNAcentral describes it as "partial 16S ribosomal RNA". The record is from RNAcentral.